GACGAACGCUGGCGGCGUGCUUAACACAUGCAAGUCGAACGAAGAGCGAUGGAAGCUUGCUUCUAUCAAUCUUAGUGGCGCACGGGUGAGUAACGCGUAAUCAACCUGCCCUUCAGAGGGGGACAACAGUUGGAAACGACUGCUAAUACCGCAUACGAUCUAAUCUCGGCAUCGAGGAUAGAUGAAAGGUGGCCUCUACAUGUAAGCUAUCACUGAAGGAGGGGAUUGCGUCUGAUUAGCUAGUUGGAGGUGUAACGGCCCACCAAGGCGAUGAUCAGUAGCCGGUCUGAGAGGAUGAACGGCCACAUUGGGACUGAGACACGGCCCAGACUCCUACGGGAGGCAGCAGUGGGGAAUCUUCCGCAAUGGACGAAAGUCUGACGGAGCAACGCCGCGUGAGUGAUGACGGCCUUCGGGUUGUAAAGCUCUGUUAAUCGGGACGAAAGGCCUUCUUGCGAAUAGUGAGAAGGAUUGACGGUACCGGAAUAGAAAGCCACGGCUAACUACGUG
RNAcentral lists this ribosomal RNA (510 nucleotides) under uncultured bacterium. Its description in RNAcentral is "partial 16S ribosomal RNA". It matches the Rfam family "Bacterial small subunit ribosomal RNA", at positions 28 to 507 of the family's 1533-position model. The record is from RNAcentral.